GCAAAAACACCGGUUCUCUAACGAUCACCGAAGUUAAGCAACGUUCUGCUUGGUUAGUACCUUGAUGGGUGACCGAUUGGGAAUAUCAGGCGCUGUAAU
RNAcentral lists this ribosomal RNA (99 nucleotides) under Acanthosepion pharaonis. Lineage: Eukaryota; Metazoa; Mollusca; Cephalopoda; Sepiida; Sepiidae. The record is from RNAcentral.